Molecule: ribosomal RNA, 439 nt
Filed under: uncultured bacterium
Lineage: Bacteria
Description: partial 16S ribosomal RNA
Rfam family: Bacterial small subunit ribosomal RNA
Source: RNAcentral
CUACGGGGGGCUGCAGUGAGGAAUAUUGCACAAUGGGGGGAACCCUGAUGCAGCAACGCCGCGUGGAGGAUGACGCAUUUCGGUGUGUAAACUCCUUUUAUAUGUCAAGAAAAUGACGGUAGCAUAUGAAUAAGCACCGGCUAACUCCGUGCCAGCAGCCGCGGUAAUACAGAGGGUGCAAGCGUUACUCGGAAUCACUGGGCGUAAAGGACGCGUAGGCGGGUUGGAAAGUCAGGUGUGAAAUCCUACAGCUUAACUGUAGAACUGCACUUGAAACUUCUAAUCUAGAGUAUGGGAGGGGAAGAUGGAAUUAGUGGUGUAGGGGUAAAAUCCGUAGAUAUCACUAGGAAUACCUAAAGCGAAGGCGAUCUCCUGGAACAUUACUGACGCUAAGGCGUGAAAGCGUGGGGAGCAAACAGGAUUAGAUACCCUAGUAGUC